AGCAGUGUGGCUCAGUGGAAAGAGCACGGGCUUGGGAGUCAGAGAUCAUGGGUUCUAAUCCUGCCUCUGCUG
RNAcentral lists this transfer RNA (72 nucleotides) under Ornithorhynchus anatinus (platypus). It matches the Rfam family "tRNA". From Rfam's summary of the family: Transfer RNA (tRNA) molecules are approximately 80 nucleotides in length. Their secondary structure includes four short double-helical elements and three loops (D, anti-codon, and T loops). The record is from Rfam by way of RNAcentral. Lineage: Eukaryota; Metazoa; Chordata; Mammalia; Monotremata; Ornithorhynchidae.